Molecule: ribosomal RNA, 253 nt
Filed under: uncultured bacterium
Lineage: Bacteria
Description: partial 16S ribosomal RNA
Rfam family: Bacterial small subunit ribosomal RNA
Source: RNAcentral
UACAGAGGGGGCUAGCGUUGUUCGGAAUUACUGGGCGUAAAGGGCGCGUAGGCGGUCCCGUCAGUCCCUUGUGAAAUCCCCCGGCUCAACUGGGGAACUGCAAGGGAUACAGCGGGGCUUGAGUUCGGGAGAGGGAAGCGGAAUUCCGGGUGUAGCGGUGAAAUGCGUAGAUAUCUGGAGGAACACCGGUGGCGAAGGCGACAUCCUGGACCGGUAUUGACGCUGAGGCGCGAAAGCCAGGGGAGCAAACGGG